AGUGAACGCUGGCGGCGUGCCUAAUACAUGCAAGUCGAACGCGAAAGUCCUUCGGGAUGAGUAAAGUGGCGCACGGGUGAGUAAUGCAUGAGAACAUGCCCUUAGAUGGGGAAUAACGUUUGGAAACGAACGCUAAUACCGCAUAACCUCGAGAGAGUAAAGGUGGCGCCGCAAGGGCUACCGUCUAAGGAUUGGCUCAUGUCCCAUUAGCUAGUUGGCGGGGUAAUGGCCCACCGAGGCAACGAUGGGUAUGUGGUCUGAGAGGAUGAUCACACACACUGGAAAUGAGACACGGUCCAGACUCCUACGGGAGGCAGCAGUAGGGAAUAUUGCACAAUGGGGGAAACCCUGAUGCAGCAACGCCGCGUGAGUGAAGAAGGCCCUUGGGUCGUAAAGCUCUUUAGCGAGGGAAGAGGGUAGAUACGGUGAAUAAUCGUGUUUGCUGACGGUACCUCGAGAAUAAGCACCGGCUAAUUUCGUGCCAGCAGCCGCGGUAA
Molecule: ribosomal RNA, 497 nt
Filed under: uncultured bacterium
Lineage: Bacteria
Description: partial 16S ribosomal RNA
Rfam family: Bacterial small subunit ribosomal RNA
Source: RNAcentral